AGGGGAAAGAAAUGCUGCUGUUAGUAAGGCUGUCUGUUAAUGACAUGAGUCAUUCCUCCAAUGUCAGCAAAGAAGCACUUAAUUCAUCCGCCAAUUAUAAAUUAACACUGUAACUGCUUUGCCAGUCUAAUUACCUCGCGAGCUGAGAGGAAAUGAGGGCUUGUUGUUCCUUAAUAGCCUUUCUUCAAUGAACUGCUUCAAACACUGGCCCUAAAAAUAGCAGGGAUGCGGAGGUGUGCGCAGAGCGAGACCUGUGUUUUGCUGUGAGCAGCAGGGCUUGUUCCUUCUGACGGAAAUUGGAGGGAGGAAAGUUUUAUUCUGUAAGCUAAACAGGUACAUCAGGUGUACGUGACAGACAGCCGGCUCUGGGUAAGACCCUGGGAGAUAAGCAUUUUCCUCACCAAGACUCAUCUCAUUGCCAUACAAGGAAGAUUUUAUUUUCCUAAAUAUUUUAAAUGAAUAUGAACUACUACUGGUCACGCAAGUUCACAGUAGAAAGAGCAGGAAAGAAGAUCCAGAAUGCAGCAGUCUUCACAAACCCUAUGUGAAAAAUAUACUUUGGACUGAAUAAUUGGGCAGAAGCAACAUGAACUAAUUUUCACUGGAGUGGCUGGAAAUGUAGUUGUGGCACUUCUCAGAACUGCUCUCUUACUGAAAAAAAACUGUUUGGAAUAUGAAGCCUCCCUGUGCUGUGACAGUAAGGUAAUGACUUAUACUCUAGAGCUCUUUGGGGCAGAGAGGUUUAUUAGGAAGACAGCACGGCAUCUUGUCUGUGAAGUGUAUGGAUUCUAUAUGAAAACAGCAAUUUAUCUUUACCUUCUAUCAGAAAUGCAAUGAGGCCAACAAAAACAAUUUUAUCUGUAAGUCUACUACUGGUGACACUAAUUAAGAAUGUUAGAUGUGUGAAUUUUGUAAUUCAGGUUGAACUGAUGUGAAAUUCUGAGCAUCAGGGUAAAAUUCCUUAAAUCCUGUAAACAAAAUAUGGAGAAAGAACUAUGCAAGUGAGUGUUUAAGACUGUACUUGCAAAAUGUGUUUAAAAACAUUAGAUGUUCUUACCUAAGAAACAUGUUAGCGUCAUAAUUGUGUAUUUUGAGUAAAAUGGUAUAAUUGUUUCACUAUCAUUAAUUCUCUUUCCAAUUCUUGAUUUUAUGUCCUUAUUUAAUACAUUUUUACAGACUUUUUAUUUGUUUGUUGUUUUUAAGGUAGUUGACCAGUUGAGAGUAAGGAAUCACAGUUUUUUUGGUGGAAUUAAAAUUUGUUUGCUGGAUCUUUCAUAAGAAGGCCAAAGUUGCCCAUGUAAGGAGGGAAAUAAAACUUUUCUUUGUAGUUUCAAUGACAAUGUUCAUGUGCAUUGGUUUUGUUUCCUGGAAAAUCUUACAUUGGCCAGGUAUGGACCUGUUGAUGUUGAGUAAAGUAAUUCUUUUUCAUUAUCCUUUCAUUUUGAGGUGAGGAGAAAAAAAUACAUUUUUAUAGCAUUAAAUUACAGUUGAGCAUGAUUGUUUACAUCUAUAUUUGUUUUCUUUAUUUAUAAUAUGUUUUUCUCUUGGUAUAAUUUGACUUAUGUGCUGAGAUGUUAGGAAGAUGCUUUUACAGUAGUUAUAAAUCUUAUUUUAAUCCUAGAGAAGGGAAUGAAUAAGUAAUACCACAUCUGUCUCAACUUUUU
RNAcentral lists this long non-coding RNA (1664 nucleotides) under Gallus gallus (chicken). The record is from RNAcentral. Lineage: Eukaryota; Metazoa; Chordata; Aves; Galliformes; Phasianidae.